This 257-nucleotide ribosomal RNA is filed under the name uncultured bacterium. Its description in RNAcentral is "partial 16S ribosomal RNA". It matches the Rfam family "Bacterial small subunit ribosomal RNA", at positions 96 to 353 of the family's 1533-position model. The record is from RNAcentral.
UGGCGGACGGGUGAGUAAUGUCUGGGAAACUGCCUGAUGGAGGGGGAGUAACUACUGGAAACGGUAGCUAAUACCGCAUAACGUCGCAAGACCAAAGAGGGGGACCUUCGGGCCUCUUGCCAUCGGAUGUGCCCGGAUGGGAUUAGCUAGUAGGUGGGGUAACGGCUCACCUAGGCGACGAUCCCUAGCUGGUCUGAGAGGAUGACCAGCCACACUGGAACUGAGACACGGUCCAGACUCCUACGGGAGGCAGCAUG